RNAcentral lists this ribosomal RNA (407 nucleotides) under uncultured soil bacterium. RNAcentral describes it as "bacterial SSU rRNA". It matches the Rfam family "Bacterial small subunit ribosomal RNA", at positions 26 to 433 of the family's 1533-position model. The record is from RNAcentral.
AGAUUGAACGCUGGCGGCAUGCCUUACACAUGCAAGUCGAGCGGCAGCGCGGGGGCAACCCUGGCGGCGAGCGGCGAACGGGUGAGUAAUGCAUCGGAACGUGUCCUCUUGUGGGGGAUAACCAGUCGAAAGAUUGGCUAAUACCGCAUGAGAUCGAGAGAUGAAAGCAGGGGACCGCAAGGCCCUGCGCGAGAGGAGCGGCCGAUGCCGGAUUAGCUAGUUGGUGGGGUAACGGCCUACCAAGGCUACGAUCCGUAGCUGGUCUGAGAGGACGACCAGCCACACUGGGGACUGAGACACGGCCCAGACUCCUACGGGAGGCAGCAGUGGGGAAUUUUGGACAAGUGGGGGAAACCCUGAUGCAGCGACGCCGCGUGCGGGAAGAAGGCCUUCGGGUCGUAAACCGU